UACGGGGGGAGCAAGCGUUGUUCGGAUUUACUGGGCGUAAAGGGCGCGUAGGCGGCGUGACAAGUCACUUGUGAAAUCUCCGGGCUUAACUCGGAACUGCCAAGUGAUACUGUCGUGCUAGAGUGCAGAAGGGGCAAUCGGAAUUCUUGGUGUAGCGGUGAAAUGCGUAGAUAUCAAGAGGAACACCUGAGGUGAAGACGGGUUGCUGGGCUGACACUGACGCUGAGUGCGCGAAAGCUAGGGGAGCAAACGGG
RNAcentral lists this ribosomal RNA (254 nucleotides) under uncultured bacterium. RNAcentral's name for it is "partial 16S ribosomal RNA". It matches the Rfam family "Bacterial small subunit ribosomal RNA", at positions 524 to 776 of the family's 1533-position model. The record is from RNAcentral.